Molecule: long non-coding RNA, 1102 nt
Organism: Camelus dromedarius (Arabian camel)
Lineage: Eukaryota; Metazoa; Chordata; Mammalia; Artiodactyla; Camelidae
Exons: 3
Source: RefSeq, a predicted model, not a curated record
GGACACGUCGGAGGAAUUCAGGCCGCUGGCCGGGUCGUGUGCUGCCCCUCGCUCACCACCAACCCGGCCCGCCAGCCUGCCUGCCUGGAAAGGCCCUGUUGCCCAGUUAGGCCAGGCAGAGCAAGGCCUCUGGCCUCCAGGCCCAGGCAACCGGGAUGCUAGGGCCUGACUUGGCCUGUGCCUCCCCGACCUCCUGCCUCUGGGCCUCCUCUGCCCAGUUCAGGGCAUCCUUGGCCUUGCCAUCCAGAGUCUCCCCAGUGGGGCUCCAAGCCUCCCUGCUCCCAGGAUCCUCUCUGGCCGUGCGCUGAGGCUCUGGAAGUUAGGCCUCCACUCCAAAGCCUCUCGUAGGUUUUCGCCUGCUAUUGCCCGGAUCUAGGUGGGAGGCAGCAGCCUCUCUCAGGGUUUUUACAACCCAGGGCCUCAGACCCCUGGCCGAGGGGGUGCUUGCUGUUGGGCAGGAAGGCCCAGGAACUGGGGACCUGGGAGUGGGCUCCCGCAGGAAGUGCCUGACUCCCGGGCCUAGGGUCCAGUAAAGAGUCCGAGGCUGGAGUGGAGUCAGGUGGCUGUGGGGUGCAUGUUGUGUGCUACCUGGGAUGCGUGCUGUCCCAGCACGUGGGGGUGCUGGUGGUGGUGUCCUGUGCACCUGGGGAGAUUUUCGUGUGUACUUGGGCGAACACGUGAAGGCAGAUGUGGAGUCCACCGGUGAAACCAAUAUUGAGGAGAAAGAAGUGAAAGUGAAAAAUCCUGGAGCUUCUGGAUACUCCAGAUACUCACCCGAGGGAUGGCAGAACCAGGACCUUAUGUCAAUGCCCGCGCCGUGCUGGAACCCAACUGCAGGGGCCCAAAGGGGCCCGAAGUGCGAGGCUGAGUCUCCAGCCCGGCCUGGCCUGGGUGUCGCUGCUUCCCCCACCUCCGGGGGUGCACUCCUUGGUCCCUCCUGGAGGCCGCUCCACUGGGCUCCUCGCCACCUGCCCCCGCCCUACCCCUGGUGCCCGUGCCCACAGGGAGCGCGUGCCGGGUGGUCCCGUGUCCCACACACUCCGUCCGCGCUUGCCGCCGCCCGAGUAGGAAGCCUUCCUUCCUCACCUGGACCGGCUGGGCU